Small nuclear RNA from Dipodomys spectabilis (banner-tailed kangaroo rat), 107 nucleotides. The record is from RefSeq and is a predicted model, not a curated record. Lineage: Eukaryota; Metazoa; Chordata; Mammalia; Rodentia; Heteromyidae.
GUACUUGCUUUAGCAGCACAUAUACUAAAAUUGGAAUGAUACAGAGAAGAUUAGCAUGGCCCCUGUGCAAGGAUGCGGAGCAAAUUUGUGAAGUGUUCCAUGUUUUU